GUUCAGAGACGUGAAAUCGCUGAAGUGGAACCGGAGAGAGUUAACAUAACUUGGUAGCUAUAUUCUCUAUAGUCGCUUAGCUGUGGCUUUGGGGGGUGGACGCUACCUGUUGUUGCGCUGACUGCGUUGAUCAUGCUUUCCUAACAAUGUAGUGUUGCCCACAUUGUGGUGUCUUGCUUAUUGGGAGGUUUGUCAUGGUUAACGUCAAGCCUUAGUUUCUAGGGAGUCAGUGUGAAAGUUAACCACCUUUCCGACCCGUCUUGAAACACGGACCGAGGAGUGUAAUUUACACGCGAGUCAAAGGGCUGAGGAAACCUUAUGGCAUAAUGAAAGUAAAGACCGGUUAACCGGUUGACAUGGGAUCCGACUGAACUUCUUCGAAACGGAGCACCAUGGCCCUGUCUUGUCUGCUUGCAGAUGGGCAGCGGUAGAGCGUGUAGGUUGCGACCCGAAAGAUGGUGAACUAUGCUUGAGCAGGACGAAGCCAGAGGAAACUCUGGUGGAAGUCCGUAUCGGUUCUGACGUGCAAAUCGAUCGAUAGACUUGAGUAUAGGGGCGAAAGACUAAUCGAACCGUCUAGUAGCUGGUCCCUUCCGAA
This 598-nucleotide ribosomal RNA is filed under the name Heterorhabditis indica. RNAcentral describes it as "eukaryotic LSU rRNA". It matches the Rfam family "Eukaryotic large subunit ribosomal RNA", at positions 386 to 965 of the family's 3401-position model. The record is from RNAcentral. Lineage: Eukaryota; Metazoa; Nematoda; Chromadorea; Rhabditida; Heterorhabditidae.